GCUAAACGCGAAGAACCUUACCACCUUUUGACAUGCCCGGACCGCCACAGAGAUGUGGUUUUCCCUUCGGGGGCUGGGACACAGGUGCUGCAUGGCUGUCGUCAGCUCGUGUCGUGAGAUGUUGGGUUAAGUCCCGCAACGAGCGCAACCCUCGCCUCUAGUUGCCAUCAUUAAGUUGGGCACUCUAGAGGGACCGCCGGUGGUAAGCCGGAGGAAGGUGGGGAUGACGUCAAGUCCUCAUGGCCCUUACAGGGUGGGCUACACACGUGCUACAAUGGCGACUACAGAGGGCUGCAAACCAGCGAUGGUGAGCCAAUCCCAAAAAGUCGUCUCAGUUCGGAUUGUUCUCUGCAACUCGACUCCGUGAAGUCGGAAUCGCUAGUAAUCGCGAAUCAGCAACGUCGCGGUGAAUACGUUCCCGGGUCUUGUACACACCG
Molecule: ribosomal RNA, 437 nt
Filed under: uncultured bacterium
Lineage: Bacteria
Description: bacterial SSU rRNA
Rfam family: Bacterial small subunit ribosomal RNA
Source: RNAcentral